Phyllostomus hastatus (greater spear-nosed bat) is the source of this 482-nucleotide long non-coding RNA. RefSeq lists it as uncharacterized. The record is from RefSeq and is a predicted model, not a curated record. Lineage: Eukaryota; Metazoa; Chordata; Mammalia; Chiroptera; Phyllostomidae. The transcript has 3 exons.
GGAAAGGGGAGAAAAUGGCUGCAGUAAUUGUUCAGCUACAGCAGUCGAGCUCCUGGAAAUUUUUCACAAACAGAAUUGCUCCUGCCAGCAGGACCAUUAUUCCAGCCAAUGCAGAGGUAAGACAAAAUGGCUCUGUUUGGCCCUGACCGACACCAGAAACUCUCCCAGAAGCUGAGGAUUCAAAACAGUGGUUCCUGCCUCCUGCUGUUCAUUGAAGUAACCUCCCACCUCCUCCCAUCUUUCCCAUCCAGUCCCACUGCCGAGAUGAGGAUUGUAGCUACUGAUGAAGCCCUAGAGAUAAACAGGAAAUGACUUCUUCUACUGCUGCGUCUGUGUUGUGAAGUUGGGAGCGGUGGCAGCCAUUCUGGAACCAUGAAGGAACUUGGCUAAGGAUGAGCUAACCCACUGAGAAUGGCAGAGUGGAAAGGAGAGAAGAACCUGAGUGCCCACGACACUGUUUAGCCACUAAAUUACCCAAACCC